UCCACUGCAUCCCAGUUCUUCUUAUUAUCAUGUACAUUUUUGCAACCAGAAACAACUUAAUUCUUAUUUGAUUCCAUGGAAGCAUCACCAGAAACAAUAGCACUCUCAUUCACUGCAUGCCGUUCUUAUCUUCACUUAUAUUUUCAUCUUGACCAGCACCAGUAGCAUUGUUAUCCGCUGGCACAUCAAUAUUGUCACGACCAUAAGCACAUACAUUAUUAUCUUCCUCACGAUAUACAAUAACAUCCUCUUCUUCUGUUGGUUUAUCAUACAAGAGAGAUGUUGUAGUCUUCUCAACAAUGAAUCCCUCCCCAAAAACAACCAUAAUCUUCACCUUGUUACCAGGUUCUAGAUUUG
This 357-nucleotide long non-coding RNA is filed under the name Medicago truncatula (barrel medic). Its description in RNAcentral is "long non-coding RNA (MTRU_LNC007085)". The record is from RNAcentral. Lineage: Eukaryota; Viridiplantae; Streptophyta; Magnoliopsida; Fabales; Fabaceae.